UCCGGUUUGUCACCGGCAGUCUCAUUAGAGUGCCCAACUAAAUGUAGCAACUAAUGACAAGGGUUGCGCUCGUUGCGGGACUUAACCCAACAUCUCACGACACGAGCUGACGACAGCCAUGCAGCACCUGUGUCCAGGUUCCCUUUCGGGCACAACCACAUUUCUGCGGCCUUCCUGGCAUGUCAAGGGUAGGUAAGGUUUUUCGCGUUGCAUCGAAUUAAUCCACAUAAUCCACCGCUUGUGCGGGUCCCCGUCAAUUCCUUUGAGUUUUAACCUUGCGGCCGUACUCCCCAGGCGGUCGACUUCACGCGUUAGCUUCGUUACUAAGGAUGUCAAAUCCCCAACAACCAGUCGACAUAGUUUAGGGCGUGGACUAC
RNAcentral lists this unclassified non-coding RNA (377 nucleotides) under uncultured Gammaproteobacteria bacterium. Its description in RNAcentral is "contains 16S-23S intergenic spacer region". The record is from RNAcentral. Lineage: Bacteria; Pseudomonadati; Pseudomonadota; Gammaproteobacteria.